GGGGGGAGGCCGGAUCCUGGGCUGUGUCCCCGGCGCCCAGUGCUCCGGGGCCUGCGCUGUUGGAUUCGCACUCCCCCUCUCCGUGGAGCUGCUGCCU
This 97-nucleotide microRNA precursor is filed under the name Canis lupus familiaris (dog). Its description in RNAcentral is "mir-8799 microRNA precursor family". It matches the Rfam family "mir-8799 microRNA precursor family". RNAcentral also lists the same sequence under 1 other name. The record is from Rfam by way of RNAcentral. Lineage: Eukaryota; Metazoa; Chordata; Mammalia; Carnivora; Canidae.